ACUAUCUGGAAAUGUACAGCGGGAAGAGGUUGCAAUGAACAAUGUUCCAAAUAAUCUGGCAAGAAUCUAAGAACUCAAGGACCUGCUGAAGUUGAAAAUGAUAAUGAAGGUGAAGAAAAUGUGGCAGUCUCGGACGAGAAUCAAAGUUUUGACUUAGAUAAGAUAAUACAACAUUGCAAAUUACGUGGAAGACCUAAAAAAACUGAUAUUAACAGGAACUUAGCCCAGUUCCAACUACAAAGCUUGGAAGAAAUCUCCACUACAAAUCCAAAAGAACGAAAUUCUGCUGGUAAUAAAAUGGUGUCAAGGAAGCCAAGAAGAGUAAAUGGAACUGGAAAAUGCGAAAAGAAAAGCUUAAGUAAGAAACCAGUAAGGAAUGGUUAAAAUUAGGUUUCAAACUUUAACCCACUUUCUUAUAUAGACAGUUUAUUACGAAAUUAUAUAUCUUCGGCCAAUGGAAAAUGGGACACAUACCUAUAUGUCACUCAAACUUCAUUUGUCGUUAAUAAACCAACUGUCACAUCAACAACUGCACUAUCUGGAAAUGUACAGCGGGAAGAGGUUGCAAUGAACAAUGUUCCAAAUAAUCUGGCAAGAAUCUAAGAACUCAAGGAUCUGCUGAAGUUGAAAAUGAUAAUGAAGGUGAAGAAAAUGUGGCAGUCUUGGACGAGAAUCAAUGUUUUGACUUAGAUAAGAUAAUACAACAUUGCAAAUUACGUGGAAGACCUAAAAAAACUGAUAUUAACAGGAACUUAGCCCAAUCCCAACUACAAAGCUUGGAAGAAAUCUCUAUUACAAAUGUAAAGGAACGAAAUUCUGCUGGUAAUAAAAAGGUGUCAAGGAAGCCAAAAGGGGUAAAUGGAACUGAAAAAUGCGAAAAGAAAAGCUUAAGUAAGAAACCAGUAAGGAAUGGUUAAAAUUAGGUUUCAAACUUUAACCCACUUUCUGAUAUGGACAGUUUAUUGCGAAAUUAUAUAUCUUCGGCCAAUGGGAAAUGUGACACAUACCUAUAUGUCACUCAAACUUCAUCUGUCGUUAAUAAACCAACUGUCACAUCAACAACUUCACUAUCUGGAAAUGUACUGCGGGAAGAGGUUGCAAUGAACAAUGUUCCAAAUAAUCUGGCAAGAAUCUAAGAACUCAAGCACCUGCUGAAGUUGAAAAUGAUAAUGAAGGUGAAGAAAAUGUGGCAGUCUUGAACGAGAAUCAAAGUUUUGACUUAGAUAAGAUAAUUCAACAUUGCAAAUUACGUGGAAGACCUAAAAAAACUGAUAUUAACAGAAACUUAGCCCAGUCCCAACUACAAAGCUUGGAAGAAAUCUCCACUACAAAUGCAAAGGAACGAAAUUCUGCUGGUAAUAAAAAGAUGUCAAGGAAGCCAAAAGGAGUAAAUGGAACUGAAAAAUGCGAAAAGAAAAGCUUAAGUAAGAAACCAGUAAGGAAUGGUUAAAAUUAGGUUUCAAACUUUAACCCACUUUCUUAUAUAGACAGUUUAUUACGAAAUUAUAUAUCUUCGGCCAAUGGAAAAUGGGACACAUACCUAUAUGUCACUCAAACUUCAUUUGUCGUUAAUAAACCAACUGUCACAUCAACAACUGCACUAUCUGGAAAUGUACAGCGGGAAGAGGUUGCAAUGAACAAUGUUCCAAAUAAUCUGGCAAGAAUCUAAGAACUCAAGGACCUGCUGAAGUUGAAAAUGAUAAUGAAGGUGAAGAAAAUGUGGCAGUCUUGGACGAGAAUCAAAGUUUUGACUUAGAUAAGAUAAUACAACAUUGCAAAUUACGUGGAAGACCUAAAAAAACUGAUAUUAACAGGAACUUAGCCCAAUCCCAACUACAAAGCUUGGAAGAAAUCUCUAUUACAAAUGUAAAGGAACGAAAUUCUGCUGGUAAUAAAAAGGUGUCAAGGAAGCCAAAAGGGGUAAAUGGAACUGAAAAAUGCGAAAAGAAAAGCUUAAGUAAGAAACCAGUAAGGAAUGGUUAAAAUUAGGUUUCAAAUUUUAACCCACUUUCUGAUAUGGACUGUUUAUUACGAAAUUAUCUAUCUUCGGUCAAUGGGAAAUGUGACACAUACCUAUAUGUCACUCAGACUUCAUCUGUCGUUAAGGAACCAACUGUCACAUCAACAACUUUACUAUCUGGAAAUGUACUGCGGGAAGAGGUUGCAAUGGACAAUGUUCCAAAUAAUCUGGCAAGAAUCUAAGAACUCAAGGACCUGC
Aethina tumida (small hive beetle) is the source of this 2218-nucleotide long non-coding RNA. RefSeq lists it as uncharacterized. The transcript is spliced from 5 exons. The record is from RefSeq and is a predicted model, not a curated record. NCBI's taxonomy places the organism in Eukaryota, Metazoa, Arthropoda, Insecta, Coleoptera, Nitidulidae.